RNAcentral lists this unclassified non-coding RNA (1123 nucleotides) under Leishmania donovani. RNAcentral's name for it is "gene:LdHU3.11.0210(CDS-product:cytoplasmic_transl ation_machinery_associated_protein_putative)". The record is from RNAcentral. Lineage: Eukaryota; Euglenozoa; Kinetoplastea; Trypanosomatida; Trypanosomatidae.
AGAGGCAUCACAUAUAUAUAUAUAUAUAUAUAUAUGUAUACCACCCUCGUACAGAGCACGAUCAUAUCACACACGCCGGCAACUUCGCGAUGACGACAUCGGCCAGCCUCUUCAAGAAGUUCACGCUCGAGAACGUGGCUCAGAUCGCGAGCAGUAGCCAUAAAGAGCAGAAGGAGGUGCGCGAGGAGCUCGCGGAGCAGUACCCAGCGCUAGAGGAGUACUGGGAAGAGAUUCUGCCCAAGAAGUCGGACAUCUUCAUCAUCCGCUGUCAGGGUCAGGUGCACUGCAUCACCCUCGUCAGCUCCCAGCCCGAGGUGCUCUUCUUCAAUCACCACGGUGGGCCUUACCUACCGCACUUGAAGCUGCUGCACAAGUACCCCUUCAUGUUGAAGGGGCACCAGGUGGACAUUGGCGGCUGCCGCUAUGUCAUCUCUGGUGCGAACGUCAUGUGCCAAGGCUUGACCUCUGCCGGCGGCGUCGUUGCGGACGGCACGGAGGAGGGGGAGGUGGUUGCUGUCUACGUGGAGGGCAAGGAGCAUGCGGUGGCGGUGGGCACCAUGCUCAUGUCCUCGGAUGAGAUCAAGGAAAAGAAUAAGGGGCCGUGCAUAGAGAACAUCCACCACCUCGGCGACGGGCUGUGGAUGAACCCCAUCCUCAGCGCCUCACACAUCAGCGUGUAGCGUGAGGAAGAAACAUAGGCGUGAAAUCAAGCAAGGUGCAUCGGUGUCGUGUACGACGUAGCGGGGGAGAGGGCGAGGCAAGGGAAUGAAGAGAGAGCUGCAGUCACACAGCGAAUACGGUGCGGUGCGCGCGCAUAUGUUUAAACGCAUCAGUGGCGGUGGCGGCGUGUGUGAGGGGGGAGGGGAGGGCCUGUCUGUCUGGUUGAGAGGGUUUCGAGGGUUCCGGUACAUCACCUGGCCGCGUCACGCUGCUCCGCUCUCUCUUUCCCCAUUCACUCUCACCCCGCCUUUCUCCCUUUUCUAGACGUCGUGUGUUGGCCAUGCCCCGUGGCGGGAUAUGGCGUCUGCGCCCGUUGAGUUGGCGGGUUCGCUGUAUCGCAUAUUGGUGUUGGCGGCGCGUUUUGGUGUGUUCAUUUCUCUCGAUGCGCCGGGCGUUAAGGACU